UGGGGAAUUUUGGACAAUGGGCGAAAGCCUGAUCCAGCAAUGCCGCGUGUGUGAAGAAGGCCUUCGGGUUGUAAAGCACUUUUGUCCGGAAAGAAAUCCUUGGCUCUAAUACAGUCGGGGGAUGACGGUACCGGAAGAAUAAGCACCGGCUAACUACGUGCCAGCAGCCGCGGUAAUACGUAGGGUGCAAGCGUUAAUCGGAAUUACUGGGCGUAAAGCGUGCGCAGGCGGUUUGCUAAGACCGAUGUGAAAAUCCCCGGGCUCAACCUGGGAACUGCAUUGGUGACUGGCAGGCUAGAGUAUGGCAGAGGGGGGUAGAAUUCCACGUGUAGCAGUGAAAAUGCGUAGAGAUGUGGAGGAAUACCGAUGGCGAAGGCAGCCCCCUGGGCCAAAUACUGACGCUCAUGCACGAAAAGCGUGGGGAGCAAAACAGGAUUAGAUACCCUGGUAGUCCACGCCCUAAAACGAUGUCAACUAGUUGUUGGGGAUUCAUUUCCUUAGUAACGUAGCUAACGCGUGAAGUUGACCGCCUGGGGAGUACGGUCGCAAAGAUUAAAAACUCAAAGGAAUUGACGGGGUCAUAGCUGUUUCCU
Molecule: ribosomal RNA, 593 nt
Filed under: uncultured bacterium
Lineage: Bacteria
Description: partial 16S ribosomal RNA
Rfam family: Bacterial small subunit ribosomal RNA
Source: RNAcentral